Molecule: long non-coding RNA, 884 nt
Filed under: Marmota monax (woodchuck)
Lineage: Eukaryota; Metazoa; Chordata; Mammalia; Rodentia; Sciuridae
Source: RNAcentral
GCAUUAUCUCUCCCCAAUAUGUCCACUUAGUUAUUUGUGUGUGCCCAUCUCCUUUACUAGAGUGUUCAUGUUUUGAGUCAGGAUGUUUUGGUCACUUCUGUAUCAUUAGGGCCUAGUACAGCACCUGGCUUAGGGCAGCUGCUCAGUGAAUAUUUGUGGCAUGAAUAAACAGGAAGAUGAAUGCAGAGCACAGGCAGGAUGUCUGGUGAGCUGAGUGAACAAAUGGUGAGAAGCCUGGUGUUACAGAGUGGGGGAAGCAGCAGAGAAAUCUAAGAGGCUGCAAUGGGGUUGGUGCACAGUGGCUUCAGAGGCAGGCUAUGAAUCCCUGGUUUAAUAUAAAGUCAAUAUCAGGAAGUUGAAUUCUUAUACUUGUUUUUUUCUUCUCAUUAUAGGCCUAGGAUACAGUUUAUCUUUUCAUGCUUCUUUAGGUUAUCCUUUUCCACAGUCAUCUUCCAAAAACUGACAGUUCCCCAAUUUACACCUCCAUUUUACAUCUCCUGACUUCCAGGGUCACAUUAACUACAUGGUAUGCAGUGUGUGUGUGUAGCUGAGAAUCAAACCCAAGGCAUGCUAGGCAAGAGCUCUACCACUGAGCUACAUCCCCAGCCUUAAAUACACAAUAAAUGCAAUCAGUCACAAGACACUUUCAACUCAAAGUAUCCAAAAUUACUGCAUCCACUUCCUUUCUACCCGCAAAUAAAUUGUUUGUUAUCCAUGCCCCUUGGCUACAUCAAAUCCUCACCUAAGUGUCUGCUGUGGUUUAUAUGGCUUAAGCAUGUCCCCCAUUGAUUCAUGUAAUGGGAAAUCUUGAUCCCCAAUGUGGCAAUAUUGAAAGAUGGUGGAGUCUUUAAGAGGUGGGCAUGUCAUUGGAAGGUAUUAAUUCU